UAAAGUGCGAUAUGAAGUGCGAUUUGCAUGAAUCUGUGAGUCAUCAUGUCUUUGAACGCAACUUGCGCCCAGCAAUGGGCAUGUCUGUUUGAGGGUCGCAAAAAGUGGAAACUUGGAAGCUUGAAAAAGUGGAAACUUGUUUCUGCGGUGCCGGCAUUGGAUGCGGGUCAAAGAGAGCACGGGUCGGCAAGACGGCAGCCUGUGCCAGAGAGCUCCGCUCUUCUCAGGGGAAAGUCCAAGGACCAAGUGAUUAAUGAUCACGAUAGCGUGAUUAUCGUCACGAUAGCGUGAUUAGCAUCACUACUACUUACCAGACCUCAAAUCAGGCAAGACCACCCGCUGAACUUAA
This 349-nucleotide unclassified non-coding RNA is filed under the name uncultured fungus. RNAcentral describes it as "sequence contains ITS1". The stretch from base 1 to 98 matches the Rfam family "5.8S ribosomal RNA", at positions 49 to 154 of the family's 154-position model. The record is from RNAcentral. Lineage: Eukaryota; Fungi.